Non-coding RNA from Pelobates cultripes (western spadefoot toad), 254 nucleotides. NCBI's taxonomy places the organism in Eukaryota, Metazoa, Chordata, Amphibia, Anura, Pelobatidae. The record is from the annotation of a GenBank genome assembly.
AUUUGGAGAUGGCUAAAAAUGUGCACCAGUGUGUCAUAGCAUUCUGGUAGAAAACAACUCGUGUACACAGUCAUAGAAUUAGGAGAAUUUAGAGUUAUCAUUGCAUUCCUCCCAAGUUUCCCUAUUUAGGACAGACAGUCCCUAUUUUAGGCCCAAAUACUCCCAGUAAUGUGUCUGAGUGUAUAACAGAGCUCCACAGCAAUAACACUCCCAGUAAUGUGUCUGAGUGUAUAACAGAGCUCCACAGCAAUAAU